AUUCCAUCCUCGGGCACCUCUUGGUGGGUCAUCGUAGCUCUAUGCUCUUUUCUUCUGGUCUGAAAACAGCGCAGCAGCUGCACAAUUUCCAUCUUCAGCACAUCCCAUUCACAGAAGAGCGAGUGUCUUUGCAGAUGCCACCCAGAUGAACAAUGCAGUGCCCACCUCUCCUCUGCUCCAGCAGAUGGGCCAUCCACAUUCGUACCCGAACCUCGGCCAGAUCUCCAACCCCUAUGAACAGCAGCCACCAGGAAAAGAGCUCAACAAGUACGCCUCCUUAAAGGCAGUCGCUGACAAGGUCAAUGAUGACUUCUACACCAAGCGACGGCACCUGGCUGAGCUGGCUGCCAAAGGGAACUUACCUCUGCACCCUGUAAGAGUGGAGGACGAGCCCCGGGCCUUCAGCCCUGAGCACGGUCCUGCCAAGCAGAAUGGACAGAAGUCCCGCACCAACAAGAUGCCCCCACAUCCCCUGGCCUACAACUCUACCACCAACUUUAAGGGCUGGGACCCCAACGAGCAGUCCCUCCGGCGGCAGGCUUACAGCAACAAGG
Molecule: small RNA, 554 nt
Filed under: Pongo abelii (Sumatran orangutan)
Lineage: Eukaryota; Metazoa; Chordata; Mammalia; Primates; Hominidae
Description: processed transcript
Source: RNAcentral